This 233-nucleotide ribosomal RNA is filed under the name uncultured bacterium. RNAcentral's name for it is "partial 16S ribosomal RNA". It matches the Rfam family "Bacterial small subunit ribosomal RNA", at positions 15 to 236 of the family's 1533-position model. The record is from RNAcentral.
GAUCCUGGCUCAGGAUGAACGCUAGCUACAGGCUUAACACAUGCAAGUCGAGGGGAAACGACAUCGAAAGCUUGCUUCCGAUGGGCGUUGACCGGCGCACGGGUGAGUAACGCGUAUCCAACCUGCCCACCACUUGGGGGAUAACCUUGCGAAAGUAAGACUAAUACCCAAUGAUAUCUCUAGAAGACAUCUGAAAGAGAUUAAAGAUUCAUCGGUGAUGGAUGGGGAUGCGU